GAGUUUGAUCGUGGCUCAGAUUGAACGCUGGCGGCAUGCUUUACACAUGCAAGUCGAACGGCAGCGCGGGGAGCUUGCUCCCUGGCGGCGAGUGGCGCACGGGUGAGUAAUACAUCGGAACGUGUCUUCUAGUGGGGGAUAACUGCCCGAAAGGGCAGCUAAUACCGCAUGAGACCUGAGGGUGAAAGCGGGGGAUCGCAAGACCUCGCGCUGGAAGAGCGGCCGAUGUCCGAUUAGCUAGUUGGUGAGGUAAAGGCUCACCAAGGCGACGAUCGGUAGCUGGUCUGAGAGGACGACCAGCCACACUGGGACUGAGACACGGCCCAGACUCCUACGGGAGGCAGCAGUGGGGAAUUUUGGACAAUGGGGGCAACCCUGAUCCAGCCAUGCCGCGUGCAGGAUGAAGGUCUUCGGAUU
Molecule: ribosomal RNA, 417 nt
Filed under: uncultured bacterium
Lineage: Bacteria
Description: bacterial SSU rRNA
Rfam family: Bacterial small subunit ribosomal RNA
Source: RNAcentral